GUGGGAACGCGGCCGCGGACCUGGUACCCCAGAGCAGCGAGCGGGUGGGGAGCAGCCGGGGCGAGAAUGAGCGCAAUCUUGCUAACCCCUGCGGAGGGAGCGCGCGGGCGCCAACGCGGGCGCGCGGGGGCGGGCCCUGGACCUGGACCUUGGGUUUCGGCCCUCCUCCGCGCCCCGCGGUCUCGCGGGCGAAGUUUCAGUCCUGAGUGUAAAGAAUAACCCCAAGCGCGUGGCUAAGUGCGAGCAGGCGCGUGUGACGUCGGGAGGCGCCGCGGCUCCUCGGCCGCCCCACUCGGUGGUCCCCUGUCUGGAUCCAAACUGCUGACUGGCUGACCCGAGUGGUCACAUUUGCCCUCUGGGGCUUUUGAAAACCUUAAAUCAAAAUUGCUUUUGAAUCUGACAACUCCUGAGGCUACUUUCGCGGCCUCGGGGCUGUUUCAUAUAAGGACGCGAGUUUUCCUGAUCAGGUCUGUCGGCCACGUUACGAUUUCCAAUUUGCGAUCCAUCAGUUACUUCCAUUGGGUCUUCAGCCCCCAGGGACUGUGGAUCCUAGACCCCGCGGAGAAGCCCGUGGACUGGAGCUGUGUCAGCUCUGAUGGAACAAAAACGGAGGCACAGAGAGGUCAAUUGAUUGGUCUAAUGACACAGAUCUAGCAAGUGGUGGAACCAGGACUGAAUCCAGGUGUGUGUCCGGAAUUGGUGGGUUCUUGGUCUCACUGACUUCAAGAAUGAAGCCGCGGACCCUUGCGGAACUGUGAAGACUAGAGUGACCUUGGAGAUCUCAUCUGGAAGAUGGUAGAACUGCUAUCAGCCUGGCUUCCCAAAUGACCUCCUGGAUCACAGCUACCCAUGGCCUGAAAUGUUGACCUUGGAGUUGUUGCAUAGGAAAGAAAUAAACUUCUUUGUUCUUUGAGCCACAUAGUUAUCACAUAUCUUCUUAAAGCCACUUACCCACUUGUUCUAUCUCAUUCAGCUCUGAAAUUCUGUUUAAUUUCUAGAGUCAAAACAUUCAUUUGUUUCUUCUUUAUUUAACAAGAAUCAAUUACUUAUUUUAUGGAAGCCACUAUUCCAAAGAGAAGAAUCAUAAAAACAUUAGCCUUAUGGAUCUUUUGUCCUGGGAACAACACAGAGUGGAGACUACUGGAAUUUUUAAUAAAGUUCCUUUCCUGGGCAGUGCCAGUCCAGACCUAAUUUCCAGACUUAGUUAAGAUUAGACCAGUGUGCUGAAGAAUCAAAACAUCUAGAUAUUUUCCUUGCUCCAUUCUGCUUACAGCCCCACAAAAACUACUCACCCCACAGGGUUUCUUGCUUGAGAUUCCAGACAAUUCCUGUAUGUUUUAUUAGAAUACACUCUGUGUUUCAUCCAACUAGGAAGCCUUUGGCUCCGACUUAAAGCAUUAAGAACGGACCACUUUGGUAUGGAAAAUUAUCAGUUUUGGGGGAAAAGCCCCUGUUUCUCUGAUCUGUGCUCUGAAUUUGGCAGCUUUGUAGGCUUUCUCAAAGAGCCGCAACUGUGAACCAUGUCAUGUUGUCAUUAUCUCUGAUAUGCUCUGUGCAUUGGAAAUCCUGUGUGAGACUGGCAGGGGACAGAGGGAAUGAAGAAAUCACAUUCAUCAGAACAAGCUGCUCAACUUCCUUAAGUAAGGAGUUUGUCUAACAUCCAGUGGUUUCCUCUGACAGAGUGUGUACUUUCUUAACAUACGGACAAGAUUAGUACAUAGCCAGAAUGACUGUCUGCAGGUCCUAGGCUGCUUUUCAGAGGCAGCUUUAAUCUUCCUAAUUGAAUAUUUAGCUUUUCUAGGCCUGCACAAAAUGUAAAUCACAAUGUUUACAAUCUGUGAAAUAAUAGGAGAGUACAUAAUGUCAUUGCAAUAUUUUGUAAUCACUGUUAAAUGACUAAAAUCUAUUAAACUCAAUCAUUUUAAAUUAAACUUCUAAACUUCCCCA
RNAcentral lists this long non-coding RNA (1947 nucleotides) under Homo sapiens (human). RNAcentral's name for it is "HEY2 antisense RNA 1, transcript variant 1 (HEY2-AS1)". The record is from RNAcentral. Lineage: Eukaryota; Metazoa; Chordata; Mammalia; Primates; Hominidae.